CCUUGGGCCUUGGGGGUCUCCGCUGGACCUCCAGGAAGUCAGCUUCUGUGGAGUCCCGUGAGUCCUUCCAGGGAGGGAGGCAUCCAACCCGAGGGUGGUCUGGAGGGCACCACUCCCGCCACUCCCGGGGGCUGGGGCGGGGGGCGGGGUGGGGGCUGCGGCCACGUUCCUGUUCAUUCACACAGAAUCCGGGGCAUGAAUGUUCUUAGCAGCUCUGUUCCACACAGACCCACACUGGAAACCACACAGACGUCCUGCAAGUCCCAUCCCUUGCUCAUGUCGCCGGGGCUCCGGAGGAGGGCCACUCUGUAAAAGCGGCCGCCAGAUGGCGCCCAACAACCGGCGCGGAGGGGUCAGCGGGAGGGAACCGGGUCACCGGCCAGCGAGAGUGCACAGCCUGAGCCCACCGCCGGGUCAGGAGGAGACUAGAAGUUAGAGAAAAGUAUCCUUUCGAGAGCGAGAAAAACCAAUUCUGAUUUUGCAUCAGCUUCCCUCCGAUCUUGAAACUCAUUGACUUGAUUCCAUUCUGUCGAUGGAAAUAAUCCGGAACCAAUCUAUCCGUGAAAAUCGGGGCUGGCCCUGAGCUAACCUCCGUGCCCAUCUUCCUCUAUUUCAUAUGUGGGACGCCUACCACCACGUGGCUCGCCCAGCGGUGCCACGUCCACCCCCGGGAUCCGAACCGGCGAACCCCGGGCCGGCGAAGUGGAACAGGCACACUUAACCAGCGCGCCACUGGGCCGGCCUAGUGGCUUUCAUCGCAUUCGUUAAGUAGAAUUUUUAACCCUCACGAACCUUAAUUUUGGUGAAAACUAAGAAGUCAGCAAUUAGGAACUGUCCUUCCCAUGAGCAGUCUGUCGCUUGGCCAAUUUCUAAACACUUGGCCACUUUUAGAAACAUGGGAUUUCAUAGGUUUAUCUCUUCCUUCGCUUUAUUUGAUUUCAUCUCACUUUAGUUUUUGGGUGAGGAAGAUCGGCCCUCACAGAGUUAACGCCUGUUGCCAAUCUUCCUCUUCUUUCUGCUUGAGGGAGAGCGGGCCCGAGGUAACACCUGCGCCCCACUUCCUUGAUCUUGCGGACGGGAUGCCGCCACAGCCCGGUGUGAGGAGCGGUGGAGGUCCACGCCCGGGAUCUGAACCCGAGGACCCCAGGCUGCCGAAGCUGAGUGCAGGAGCUUAACCACUAUGCCGCCGGGCCGCCGUCCCCUGUCAAAGCUUUUAAUAAAGCACGAGACGUGUUCCUCGAUAGACCCAAACGUCUUUUCGUUUCCGUAUCCUCACAAACCCAAAGUAGAUAAACUUCUAUUUAGCCACUCACGUCUCAGGUUCUAUCUUACUAGGAAAUGAUCUACAUCGUCAGGGAAAUUGUUUUUGUCUUAAGUUUGGCACCCGAGCUAACGACUCUUGCCAAUCUUCCGUUUUUGUUUUUUUCCCCCCCUCCCGAUUUUUCUCCCCAAAUC
Equus caballus (horse) is the source of this 1455-nucleotide non-coding RNA. The record is from RefSeq and is a predicted model, not a curated record. NCBI's taxonomy places the organism in Eukaryota, Metazoa, Chordata, Mammalia, Perissodactyla, Equidae.